This is a long non-coding RNA of Hevea brasiliensis (rubber tree), 1064 nucleotides long. RefSeq lists it as uncharacterized. The transcript has 2 exons. The record is from RefSeq and is a predicted model, not a curated record. NCBI's taxonomy places the organism in Eukaryota, Viridiplantae, Streptophyta, Magnoliopsida, Malpighiales, Euphorbiaceae.
CCUUAUCCGCACGCAUAUUUUUUAUUUUUAGUUUAAUAGAAUUUAUUUUCGGUAAAAAUUGAAGUCAUCGGCUCACAUGAUCCAAUUCACGUUCAUCUGCUUUAUGGAUCGGAUGGUUGGUUGAGGGGCGCAACUGUGGUGGCACGCGUAUAACCACACGCAUUAAAAAAAUUCCAACCCUUUCACAACACUUUGCAACUGCAUAUCACGCGCACGUGUAGACACUGUAGCUCCACGUCAGACUGCCCCGCUCUUACUCUCUCACAGGCAUUGCUUCGUAAUUCAUUUAAAAUCCACGCCUACUUCCUUACCAUCAACCCUUUUUUCUAAAACCAUUAGCCGCUACCUUAGAAUCGUCCGUGGACCGUCUGAUAACCCUAGUCGGUGCACACCUACGCGUCACAAUCUUGUUCGUCCGUUCCAACUAUAAAUAACCACCAGUCUCACCUAAUAGAGUAGGAGCAGUGUGUAUCAGUAGAUUUUCUCGCUCUAUCUUACUUAAUUCAACAUUUAUAUCUCGAAGAGAGAGAAAGAAAAUGGGAGAGAUGUUUGAGGGAGGGAGAAGUUGAUUCUGUUACCGGCGGUCUCUAAUUCGCUUGGUGCAGGUCGGGAACUGAUUGGCUUCGCUUGGAUAUAUAUUCUUGUCAGUGCCAAAUGGCGAGAUGUGAUUGGUUGAGAUUGGACAGAAGCGAAUUAGAUCCCGCCUUGCAUCAACUGAAUCGGAGACCGCGGUGAAAGGUUGCAUGGAUCUUGCUUUUUAUCUCCGGUUACCGUUCAGAUCUCAGAUCCCCUGAAUUUGUUAAUUCCUACGGUGAACUCAAUUGAAGUUGCAUUCUGAAUGAUUCUCUGGCAGAUCCCCUGAUUUGUUAAUUCCUGAGCACAAGCAUCAACCUUCAGAUUCAUGCAAUCCGAGCUUUUACCCGUGCAUUGUAAUACUUGGAGCUUGACAUGUUUACAUAAAACGCAGACUUACAAAAGAACUAUGUGUGAAGUAUAGUCGAAUUAUUCCUAUUAUUUACUACUAAAAUAAUUUUUAGAAAUAAAAUGGCUCACCUUUUUGCGUU